Molecule: ribosomal RNA, 279 nt
Filed under: uncultured bacterium
Lineage: Bacteria
Description: partial 16S ribosomal RNA
Rfam family: Bacterial small subunit ribosomal RNA
Source: RNAcentral
UGCCAGCAGCCGCGGUAAUACGUAGGGGGCAAGCGUUGUCCGGAUUUACUGGGUGUAAAGGGCGCGCAGGCGGAUUUGUCAGUCAGGGGUGAAAUCCUACAGCUUAACUGUAGAACUGCCUUUGAUACUGCAAAUCUUGAGUUCGGAAGGGAGAGGCGGAAUUCCAGGUGUAGUGGUGAAAUACGUAGAUAUCUGGAAGAACACCCGUGGCGAAGGCGGCUAGCUGGGCCGAAACUGACGCUGAGGCGCGAAAGCGUGGGGAGCGAACAGGAUUAGAUA